CAGUAGCCGCGGGAAUACAGAGGGUGCGAGCGUUAAUCGGAUUUACUGGGCGUAAAGCGUGCGUAGGCGGCUUCUUAAGUCGGAUGUGAAAUCCCUGAGCUUAACUUAGGAAUUGCAUUCGAUACUGGGAAGCUAGAGUAUGGGAGAGGACGGUAGAAUUCCAGGUGUAGCGGUGAAAUGCGUAGAGAUCUGGAGGAAUACCGAUGGCGAAGGCAGCCAUCUGGCCUAAUACUGACGCUGAGGUACGAAAGCAUGGGGAGCAAACAGGAUUAGAUACCCCGGUAGUCCCUGUCUCUUAUAC
RNAcentral lists this ribosomal RNA (301 nucleotides) under uncultured bacterium. RNAcentral's name for it is "partial 16S ribosomal RNA". It matches the Rfam family "Bacterial small subunit ribosomal RNA", at positions 509 to 807 of the family's 1533-position model. The record is from RNAcentral.